Gossypium hirsutum (cotton) is the source of this 145-nucleotide non-coding RNA. Lineage: Eukaryota; Viridiplantae; Streptophyta; Magnoliopsida; Malvales; Malvaceae. The record is from Rfam.
UAUUAAAAUUUUUAUUCAUUUCUAUUGUUAAAAAUUAGCGUGAUUGUUGGAAUAACCAAACAGUUUCACAUGGUGUGCUACGUGUACCUCAUGCUAGCAUACAAGAAUUAGUUUUUAAUUGUAGAAAUGAAUAGAAUUUUUAACA